ACCCACACACUCAGCACACAUACAAACAAAACACACGCACACAACACAGCAACAGCUGCUGAAAAAGAAAGAAGAAAAGAAAGAAAGGGAAAAGGAAAAGAGGGAGAUCUGAGAGGGAGAGGACGCAAGGUUUGAGGGAGCUGCGACGGGGGAGAAGGGAAGAAGAGAGGGAGUCGCCGCCAUUCAGCUCGCCGCCGUCGUUCGAGCUAUCGCCGCCGUCCAGCGCCGUCACGUCUCGCUCGCCGCCGCUGUACCGUCGAGAGGGAAGUCGUGCACGCGUGCUUGAAGGUCACCGUUGUCCUUAUCGCAACCUGCCACCGUCGCUGGAGGUAGCCAUAUUCACUGCCAUUUUCUGCCGUUGCCAAAGCCUGGAACCGCCACACUUUUGUCGUCGUUCCUCACCAGUUCUGUUGCUGCCAUGCAUUGCGAAGCCAGCUGCCACCGUCGCACGCUCCGUUGCCGCCGCUGGUGAUGGGUGGAAGAGCCUCUAUGCCACCAAGAAACGCCGCUGUCAUCACCUACAACCACUGCUGUCGUUGGAGUUCUGGUCGCCGCUGUCAGUCGGGAUGGCUGCUGGAGCUGCCGCCAAAUCGGUUCAGAGACCGCUGCUGUUUCGCUUUCUUAUUACAGUAAAUGUUUUUGUUUCGAAACCCUCGCAUUAAUAUUCUGAUGCGUGAAAUUCGGAGCAACUUGACAGAGUUUGGAGCAAAAAGCUAAAGAUUUGAAGUAUCUCUUUGGGCGCUAAACGCCAGUCAGCAACCCUUGUAAGACAGCAUCGCUCCUACCCCUUAUGGGCGCUAAACGCCCAACCAGACAAUCCGAGUUGAAGCCUACACUUUGGAGCAUCUCUAGUUGGAUUUAUCUUUAAUUUUAUUAGUUAUCUUUUAUUUUCUUUCAGUAAUUUUUAUUUACAAACAAUAUCUUUUAGUUUUAGAAUUUAAUAUUUUAUUUUAAUAUCAAAUCGGAAUUAGGUUAGAUAUAAAAGGGAAAAGAUUCACCCUUUAGGGGGGGAUGGCAACUUCUGAAUCUUUUCUCUUCCGCACUUUUCAGAAUCCUAAUUUUUCUCUGUAAGUCAUG
Arachis stenosperma is the source of this 1077-nucleotide long non-coding RNA. RefSeq lists it as uncharacterized. The record is from RefSeq and is a predicted model, not a curated record. NCBI's taxonomy places the organism in Eukaryota, Viridiplantae, Streptophyta, Magnoliopsida, Fabales, Fabaceae. The transcript is spliced from 3 exons.